RNAcentral lists this ribosomal RNA (305 nucleotides) under uncultured bacterium. RNAcentral describes it as "bacterial SSU rRNA". It matches the Rfam family "Bacterial small subunit ribosomal RNA", at positions 337 to 639 of the family's 1533-position model. The record is from RNAcentral.
UCCUACGGGGGGCAGCAGUGAGGAAUAUUGGUCAAUGGGCGGAAGCCUGAACCAGCCAAGUCGCGUGAGGGAAUAAGGCCCUACGGGUCGUAAACCUCUUUUGUCGGGGAGCAAGGCCCGCCACGUGUGGCGGGAAGGAGAGUACCCGAAGAAAAAGCAUCGGCUAACUCCGUGCCAGCAGCCGCGGUAAUACGGAGGAUGCGAGCGUUAUCCGGAUUUAUUGGGUUUAAAGGGUGCGUAGGCGGAAGGUUAAGGCAGCGGUCAAAUGUCGGUGCUCAACGCCGGCCUGCCGUUGAAACUGGUCU